UCCAAAGGACCGAAGACUAAACCCGCCGCGUCCUGUGGCAACGUCUGCAUGACCCGCAUCCU
RNAcentral lists this small RNA (62 nucleotides) under Cytobacillus oceanisediminis. Its description in RNAcentral is "Bacillus oceanisediminis Bacillaceae-1 RNA". It matches the Rfam family "Bacillaceae-1 RNA". The record is from RNAcentral. Lineage: Bacteria; Bacillati; Bacillota; Bacilli; Caryophanales; Bacillaceae.